Molecule: long non-coding RNA, 1603 nt
Filed under: Rhagoletis pomonella (apple maggot)
Lineage: Eukaryota; Metazoa; Arthropoda; Insecta; Diptera; Tephritidae
Description: uncharacterized LOC118756123
Source: RNAcentral
AGCUCCUCAAGCUGGCUGUAAUAUGGCAAUUAUCCAAUCCAAUUAGGACUGUUGGCUCUGAAUCAGUGUAAUCAACUAUUGGAAGAUGUUUACACCUCGAGUGUAGUUCAGCAAAUGUGACUGUUUGCAUUGGCAAAUCAAGGCACAGUAUACCAGUAGAAAAGGUUUUUGUUUUUGUAGCUGUUUCGUGGUGAAAGUCCUUUAUGGGGACCAAAUUUCCCCACAAGAAAUUGAGCACAUGGUUGCUUUUGCGGCCCAAAAGAAUGAAUAUUAGAAAACAUUUAAAAAAAGUCUAAGUUUGCUCUGAGCGCUUGUGUUGUUUACCAAGAAAAUGCAGCCCUGUUGGUUUUUAUUUCUGUAUCGCAUCGCGGUGAGUUUCCAUUUCUUGGUAAUUCGGUUUGUGAAAUGACUAUUAAUUACAAGCACAGCAUCAUCAACGGUGAUUGCAAGAACUACUGCAAUCCCUGCGGUUUUUCCUCUUGGUAAAUGCGUUCUGGUCGUGACCAAGGGUGGUCUCCCAAAUCGGCUGGGAAUAAGGCUAUUGUUGCAGAACAUAACGCCGCAACCACUGCUGUGGUAAAUAUGUUCCAGCAGAGCUGCCCACCGCCGUCGGUGUAAUGAUUUCGAUAGCUGAACAAACGCCAUCUCCUGGGCAUUCCCACAGCUUGCCGACACUAGCUAUUAUAUGACGUGUGAAUGCAACUGCAGCUUAAUUUGGUUAUUAACAGUACAAUAGUACCAUGUCAUUGGCAAAAACACUAAGGGCUGCUGGCAAAUAUAGGUUGUAAAGUUUUUGGUAUCGAUGAACUUACUCAAAGAAGACGAUGGCCGAAAACAUAUGAUGAAACAUCUUCUGGCAUGCCUUUGACAAUCGUUAAGUCAGACGGAGGCUUCACAUACGAUAUUUCACACAUGGCUGGAAUUCGUUAGCGGACAGAACCCACAUUUAAAAAAUAUUUAUCGUUCAGCAGAACGUGCAUGCAUAUCAUAUUCGAUUCCGAUUUUAUGGGUCGAUUACGGAGGACAACCGAACUUCAGUUGGUUGGCCAGUGGCUGAAAUGGUAUUACCGAUGGCAACUAGCAACUGAAAGCUGGCAACUAAGUUGCUAUAUUGGCAAUGGCGCUGUCCAUCGGCAACCCAACUGAGGUUCCGUUCCCAUCCAUAAUCGAUCCAUAAGUCAUAAUCGCACGAACUAAUCAAGGCUAUCAUAGAAUCCAUCGUAGUCCGAUUUUUCGUGAAAUCUACGAAAAUGCUAUUAAGGUCGAAUAGCUACGAACGCAGCGCUUGCUUUGAAUACACACGUUCAUAGCAGUUCAGAUUCAGUGAUCGCUUUUUCGUAGAUUUUAAGAAAAAUUGGACUACGAUGGAUUCCGCCACCAAUAUGUUUUCUCCUUUGACAAGAUGUUUGAGAAUCGCGGCAGCACAGCCGUAUACCUACUCUUUGCUCUUACGCGCAUAUGCUAAAUUUCUCGCACCUAGCUAAAGUGCUUGACAAAGGCAGAAGGCAUAUCUUCAACAUUAUAACUUAGUAAAAAAUUUUAAGGCAUGCAAUAAAAGAAUCAACAGAACCAAAAAAUGUCCUCAAAACUAUUAAACAUAAAA